Molecule: ribosomal RNA, 463 nt
Filed under: uncultured bacterium
Lineage: Bacteria
Description: partial 16S ribosomal RNA
Rfam family: Bacterial small subunit ribosomal RNA
Source: RNAcentral
GACGAACGCUGGCGGCGUGCUUAACACAUGCAAGUCGAACGGUGAACCUCUUCGGAGGGGAUCAGUGGCGAACGGGUGAGUAACACGUUGGCAACCUGCCCCCGGCUCUGGGAUAACUCCAAGAAAUUGGGGCAAAUACCGGAAGUUCACCGCUUCCCGCAUGGGUGGUGGUGGAAUGGGGUUCAGGCUGGGGAUGGGCGCGCGGCCUAUCAGCUUGUUGGUGGUGUAGUGGCAUACCAAGGCGACGACGGGUAGCCGGCAUGAGAGGGUGAACAGGCACACUAGUCCUGCGAGACGGCCCAGUAUGCUACGGGAGGCAGCGGGGGAGAACAUUACGCAGUGGGCCGGAGCGUGACACGGCGGCGUUGGGUUCGUGAUGACGGCCUUCGGGGUGAAAACCUCUUUCAGCAGGGACGAAGAGCAAGUGACGGUACCUGCAGAAGAAGCACCGGCUAACUACGUG